UAAAGAUGGCUACAGAAUCUGCUGAUCUUGUAGCAGCGGGCAGAUCAUUCCAUAAAUGUGGAAGCGAUCCCGAGAAGAUGCGUGAGAGAGAUUUUUUUACCUUUUUGGGAUGGCACCACAAGACGUCGUCCGUUUGCAGAGCGUAGGGAUGUGGCGGGUAUAUAAGUCUGCAUUAGCGAGCGACAUCAAGGUACUCCUCCGUGUUGCUCCACUGCUGUCUGUCCAAUCCAUGGGCUCUUCAAUAUCACAGCCGAGGUUGGGCACAGGAGCUGGAAACGAUGACUUCCCGCACGUCUGCUGCCGCUCGACCUUCGCCUCCAAGUGCAUGUUUUCGGUCUCGGGCUCAGCACAAAGCCUCGAGCGGCCCAAAGACACGCUGUACGCUCUCUUCCUCUUACCCAUUUUCAGUUUCAGCAAGAAAAACAAAGUACAAAGAACCAGAGAAAAGCAAAACGCCGCCAUCUCGUAGCUACUCUGACAAACUUCGUCGCGUCUUUUCACAGAUGGCAGUAGCAGUGACGUGACGUGACGUGACUUAACGUUGCGUGUGACCACUGCGUAUCGAGCGUCGUUUUUCGUGACGAAGAUUGAGCUUCGUUUUUCAUGACGAAGAUUGCAGUAUUUUCUCCCACGAGUCUCUCGGACCCUCAAAAAUCAUCCUGCUUGUUUUGAGUUUCUGUGGCUUUGUUGUAUUUACUAAUCUGUCUCUGCAGAACAACACUAUAUCAACAGGCCAAGGCCAUGACAACACCCGUGAUUCCAGACGAUGUAAUACAAAUGAAGACUUUCUCCACAAAGAUCAAACUUACAAUAGUAGCAAUCACUCUGGAGUUAUACUGAACUCUUAUGAGGUGAAGUUUAAUCUGUUGGGGAUGGUCUUUGCCACACUAGGGGUCUUUGUCACAUCAAUGUAUCAAGUGGUAAGUCAUCUGGUAUUUACACAGUCAACCCA
Molecule: long non-coding RNA, 952 nt
Organism: Triplophysa rosa
Lineage: Eukaryota; Metazoa; Chordata; Actinopteri; Cypriniformes; Nemacheilidae
Exons: 3
Source: RefSeq, a predicted model, not a curated record